RNAcentral lists this ribosomal RNA (303 nucleotides) under uncultured bacterium. RNAcentral describes it as "partial 16S ribosomal RNA". It matches the Rfam family "Bacterial small subunit ribosomal RNA", at positions 507 to 809 of the family's 1533-position model. The record is from RNAcentral.
AGCAGUCGCCGCGGGAACACGUAGGGUGCAAGCGUUAAUCGGAAUUACUGGGCGUAAAGCGUGCGCAGGCGGUUUCGUAAGACAGAUGUGAAAUCCCCGGGCUUAACCUGGGAACUGCAUUUGUGACUGCGAGGCUAGAGUGUGUCAGAGGGGGGUGGAAUUCCACGUGUAGCAGUGAAAUGCGUAGAGAUCGGGAGGAACAUCAGUGGCGAAGGCGGCCAUCUGGGACAACACUGACGCUGAGGCACGAAAGCGUGGGGAGCAAACAGGAUUAGAUACCCGGGUAGUCCCUGUCUCUUAUCC